Molecule: long non-coding RNA, 338 nt
Filed under: Actinidia chinensis (golden kiwifruit)
Lineage: Eukaryota; Viridiplantae; Streptophyta; Magnoliopsida; Ericales; Actinidiaceae
Description: long non-coding RNA (ACHI_LNC004865)
Source: RNAcentral
CUGGAGGAAAUUGCUUGCGAGGGUGGAGGCACACGAUAUGUCCGUUAACCAAGUCCUGUCAUCAUUGAUCAACGGUGACGAUCGCUUUGAGAUUCAGCAUCAACGGUCGUGGAGGCCGAGUCUACAGAGUAUACCGGAAGUGGACAAUACAGGAUAGAUGUGGUGAUUAUCAUGGUGGCUUCUUGUUUGAGUCAUUGAGUUGUCGUACUAAAAUAAAGUCAGGUUUAUUUUUUGGAGUAUUAUUGUUGUUGCAGUGUAAAGACGUUUGUAAUUACAUUUGUUAUCACAGAAAUUCUACAUGUUAUCGGUUUUUUAUUACUGUUUACGUCACUACCUAG